This 253-nucleotide ribosomal RNA is filed under the name uncultured bacterium. Its description in RNAcentral is "partial 16S ribosomal RNA". It matches the Rfam family "Bacterial small subunit ribosomal RNA", at positions 524 to 776 of the family's 1533-position model. The record is from RNAcentral.
UACGAAGGGUGCAAGCGUUAAUCGGAAUUACUGGGCGUAAAGCGCGCGUAGGCGGUCUGGUAAGCGGAAUGUGAAAUCCCCGGGCUCAACCUGGGAACUGCAUCCCGAACUGCCUGACUAGAGUACGGUAGAGGUGAGUGGAAUUUCCUGUGUAGCGGUGAAAUGCGUAGAUAUAGGAAGGAACAUCAGUGGCGAAGGCGACUCACUGGAUCGAUACUGACGCUGAGGUGCGAAAGCGUGGGUAGCAAACAGG